CUACGGGGAUGAUCUCAAAAGUUGAACUCUCUCUUUCUGAUGAAUUAGUGGAGAAAACAUAAAAAUUCUGAGUAGC
Small nucleolar RNA from Balaenoptera musculus (blue whale), 76 nucleotides. RefSeq annotates it as small nucleolar RNA SNORD26. The record is from RefSeq and is a predicted model, not a curated record. The transcript has a single exon. Lineage: Eukaryota; Metazoa; Chordata; Mammalia; Artiodactyla; Balaenopteridae.